CCUACGGGGGGCAGCAGUGAGGAAUAUUGGUCAAUGGACGAGAGUCUGAACCAGCCAAGUAGCGUGAAGGAUGACUGCCCUAUGGGUUGUAAACUUCUUUUAUAUGGGAAUAAAACGUUCCACGUGUGGGAUUUUGUAUGUACCAUAUGAAUAAGGAUCGGCUAACUCCGUGCCAGCAGCCGCGGUAAUACGGAGGAUCCGAGCGUUAUCCGGAUUUAUUGGGUUUAACGGGAGCGUAGGUGGAUUGUUAAGUCAGUUGUGAAAGUUUGCGGCUCAACCGUAAAGUUGCAGUUGAAACUGGCAGUCUUGAGUACAGUAGAGGUGGGCGGAAUUCGUGGUGUAGCGGUGAAAUGCUUAGAUAUCACGAAGAACUCCGAUUGCGAAGGCAGUUCACUGGACUGCAACUGACACUGAGGCUCGAAAGUGUGGGUAUCAAACAGGAUUAGAUACCCUGGUAGUC
This 460-nucleotide ribosomal RNA is filed under the name uncultured bacterium. RNAcentral describes it as "partial 16S ribosomal RNA". It matches the Rfam family "Bacterial small subunit ribosomal RNA", at positions 338 to 795 of the family's 1533-position model. The record is from RNAcentral.